CCUACGGGUGGCAGCAGUGAGGAAUAUUGGUCAAUGGGCGAGAGCCUGAACCAGCCAAGUCGCGUGUGGGAGGACUGCCCUAUGGGUUGUAAACCUCUUUUGUCGGGGAGCAAAAGUCGGACGUGUUAGCCUUUGAGAUUACCCGAAGCAAAAGCAGCGGCUAACUCCGUCCCAGCAGCCGCGGUAAUAGUGAGGAUGCGAGCGUUAUCCGUAUUUAGUGGGUUUAAGGGGUAGGCAGGCGGAGGUUGAAGUCUGCGGUCAAGUCGUGGGGCUAAACCUCAUCCAGCGGUUGAAACUGGGGAUCUAGAGUGUGCGAGAGGUAUGCGGAAUGCGUGGUGUAGCGGUGAAAUGCAUAGAUAUCACGCAGAACCCCGAUUGCGAAGGCAGCAUACCGGUGAACAACUGACGCUCAGGCACGAAAGCGUGGGUAUCGAACAGGAUUAGAUACCCGAGUAGUC
RNAcentral lists this ribosomal RNA (458 nucleotides) under uncultured bacterium. RNAcentral describes it as "partial 16S ribosomal RNA". It matches the Rfam family "Bacterial small subunit ribosomal RNA", at positions 338 to 795 of the family's 1533-position model. The record is from RNAcentral.